CUACAAUUAUCUCUCACCUGAAUUUUGCAAUUGGUCACACUGAUUUCAUUCGUGCCCACUUCUACAGCCUAUUCUCAGCACAGCUGACAGAAUAACUAUUUUAAAUUUAAAUCGUAUCAAGUCACUGAAGGCAGAAUAUGGUGGCAGCAGGGAGAAACAUUAGAAGUUUUUUAUAAUAAUGAAAGCUUGAGAUCAUCAUGGCUUGGACCAGACAGGUGGCAAUUUUGGAUACUACCUCUUUGUUGGAGGGGAUAGAACUCAGGGAAAUCUAAGAGAGCCUAAAGGUAAGAGACGAUUGAAAAUGGGAGGUUCUGAGAUGGAAUUUAGGGAGCAGAUCGAAUGUCCCUGAAAAUAAGCUUCAUGGCAUUCACCAUUUAUCCACCUAGCCCUGCUAAAGCAAAUAGUUAAACUAGCACUGUCUACAAAAGCAUUUUAAUGAAAAAGUCAAUUUACUCCUUCCUGAAGGCUAACUCUUAUCUUUCUAGGAAGGACCUUGCAGGAAUAUUUCCUUUAUUUUCUUUCCUCCUCCUUCGCUUAGCCCUGACGCUGGACCUCUUAGCCUAAAGAAGAACUGAACACUAUGGAUACUAAAAUUUUUCUAAUUACAUGAUUUGCAUCCAUUUGGGGGCUGGGUGUCACUGUUUGGCUCUGUUUGUCUUUCUCAAAGACCCAGUGAAAUUUUGCCAGAGUGUAAAACAGGACUUUAUUCAUUUGUUUGAGAGAGAAAAAAGUCAUCAAUUGCUUAAAAAAAAAAAAAGUUUCACACUUCACAAAAAAAUAACAAAACACAGAAAAAGUGGCACAGGCAAUAGUAUAACACCAACACACCCACCCAGAGAUGAAUCCUCAGAGAAAAGUGCAAUCAUGGUAUGCCUGUCCAGAUUUUAAUCCUCGAAGCAGGUGUGCACAAGAGAUCUUAGUCAACGGUGGGACUGAUUUAUGGAUUUCU
This 949-nucleotide long non-coding RNA is filed under the name Homo sapiens (human). RNAcentral describes it as "HSALNT0074249". Lineage: Eukaryota; Metazoa; Chordata; Mammalia; Primates; Hominidae. The record is from RNAcentral.